Molecule: long non-coding RNA, 3336 nt
Filed under: Olea europaea subsp. europaea
Lineage: Eukaryota; Viridiplantae; Streptophyta; Magnoliopsida; Lamiales; Oleaceae
Source: RNAcentral
AGACAGUUCCAUAUACAAUGAUAAUAUGAUCAAUGAUCAAAUGAGAUUUUAAAGGUAGAAUUUCUAGAGCUUGUAAUCCAACUUUCAGUUCAAUAUAUUCUAAGGAUAUCGGUACAUUGUGUUGAACAUCGGAUAUGAAUAAUAUUUGUGAGUUGUUCCAUCCAAUACUAUGUCACGCACUAUAAUGAAAACAGGAAAGAAGGUAAAAAGAAAUAUUAUAUUUCAUUUAAAUAAAGCUUGUACAGUACAUGGUAUAUAUAGUAUAAUAAAUGAGUUAGUAUCACUGUGAUUAUGACACGUCCACUAACUGCAUAACAAAGUGCUCUAUGAUUGCAAUAUGUGUACAUCUACAAAUAAUAAUUUACAAACAGACUUGCAAGUCUCGGCAGGGUUUGUUAUCUGCUAAUAUCACCUCGCAAACGAAGGGUCAUAGGAGCAAGAACCCUUAGGUUACGUUUCAGCCGAGUAAAAUGUUGAACAGCAAGAGGUUUGUGAGAAUGUUUGCAAGUUGAUCAAAUGCUGGAACAUGCUAGACAGCUAGAGUCUUAUUAAGAACUCGUUCCCUGACAAAGUAGAGAUCAAGCUCCAAAUGCUUCAUACAAGAAUAUAUGACUGGAUAGCAUUGAGAGCCAUCGUGCUCAAAUUAUCGCACCAGAUGAUUGGAAUUUUAUUUUGAUAGAUUUGGAGCUCCUUAAGUAAAGAUUGCAACCACAUUAAUUCAGAAGUGGCGUUAGCUAAGCUACGGUAUUCAGCUUCAGUACUUGAGCAAGAAACGGUAGAUUGUUUCUUUGAGCUCUAGGAAACUAGAUUAUCCCCAAGAAAUAAGCAGUAACCAGAAGUGAACGGCGAUCAUCCAAGUCCCAUGCCCAAUCAGAAUCUAAAAAUCCAUGAAGAUAAAGAUUAUUAGACUUGAAAAAGUGGAGACCAUGAUUUGCAGCACCACAAAGAUAUUGAAGAAUGCGUUUGACUGCCUUCCAGUGUGCUUUAAGGCGUAAAUUGGCACACUUUAUUUACACAAUAUGCUAUUUCAGGCCUAGUAAUUGUUACAUGUUGCAAUAACCCAACAGUGCUUCGAUAUAAAGUUGGAUCCACAAAUGGAUCGCCAUUAGAGGAAGUGAGGGACAAAAUUGCCACCAUGGCAGUUAGUUGCGAUUUAGCAUUACUCAUCUUAACUCCAUCGAGGAGAUCUUCGAUAUACUUCUCUUGAGACAACAAUAGACUACCAGUAGUAGUAUGCUUUACCUCUAUCCCUAGAAAAUAAUGAAGAAUGCCCAAGUCUUUCAAGGAAAAUUCAGAGUGCAGACAAGUGAUCUGAGACUCGAUUGCUAGACUACUACUCCCAGUAAUCAAUAUACCGUCUACAUAUACAAGGACAUAGAUACAAAGUGUAGCAUCGCAUUUGAUAAAAAGAAAAGUAUCCGCUCGAGAAGCAAUAAAACCAAGAGAUAAGAGAUAAGUCUUCGAACAAUCAAAUCACGCCCGAGGGGCUUGUUUUAACCCAUAAAAAGCUUUAUUGAGCUUACAGACCAAUCUAUCAUUUGGUGCAGGAGCUUCAAAUCCAGGAGGCUGAGCCAUGUAUAUAUCUUUAUGCAAUAUGCCAUUAAAGAAUGCAUUAUUUACAUCAAGUGGCAUACCUGCCAUCCAAGAGAAAUAGCAAUGGAGAGAACCACAUGUAUGGUUACUUGUUUCGCCACAAGUAUCUGUGUAAUCAAAGCCGAGAACUUGAUGGUAACCUUUUGCAACCAGUCACGCCUUCUAUUAAGAGAUAGAACCAUCAGGAUUUCUCUUCAGUUUAAAAACCCAUUUGCAGCCAAUCAACUUUCUAUCUGAGGGCAAAGAGACUAAGUUCCAAGUGUUAUUGCUAAUUAAUGCAGCAUAUUCCUCAUGCAUUGCCAUAUUUCACUGAGCACAUUUGAGGGCUUCUUUGAAAGAGUUUGGUAUACUAUUUUGUAGGUCGGUAGUGAGGAGAACUUUAGGUUUAAAAUUUCCAGCCUUGGAUCGAGUGACCAUGUGAUGAGUAUUGAUAGGAAGACAUAGAUGAUGAUUCUGACUGGGAAGGUAGAUCAAUAGGUAACGAUUUAGGCUCGGUGGUUGAUAUGGUUGAUUCACUUGGGAAUAAUGAGGGCAUACUGUGUGUUGGAAAGUGAUGUGCUAGAGAGUUUUGCUAUGAGGAAUCACGGUUGGGAUCAGUUUUUAGCAAAGAUGUAGUAGAUGAUUGUCCAAGAUGAGUUGAUUGCAUAGCUGGAUAAAGGACUGAAAGAGGUUGAUCGACACUGGAAAUUGUAGAAGACUUUUGUCAAGCAUAUGGAAAAGUUUUCUCAUCAAACACUACAUGACAAGAUAUGAAAAUCCUUUCAUUAGGUUCUAAGCACUUGUACCCCUUGUGGUUAAGACUGUAAUCAAUGAAUGUACAAGGGGUUGACCGAAAGUUUAACUUGUGUUUGUUAUAGGGCCGAAGGCAAGGAGAGCACAUGCAGCCAAACACACGUAAAAAUGAAUAAUCAUGUUUGGUAUACAGCAGCCUUUCCAAAGGAGACUGACCACUCAAGACUAUAGUAGGUAAUCUGUUGAUAACAUAUAUGGCACUUGAGAAACCAUCAUCCCAAAUUUUGAGAGGUAACGAGGCUUGAGCUAAAAAGGUAAGACCACAAUCAAUAAUGUGUCAAUGCUUACGUUCAAAGACUCCAUUUUGUUAAGACGCAUGAGGACAAGAAUGUCUGUGAGUUAUCCCAGCUAAACUCAAGUACAAUGUAAGGGACCGAAACUCACCCCCAAUCUGUUUGUAGAAUUUUGAUCUUUUUGUCUAGUAAUAAUUCAACUUGAGCCUUGAAUCGAAGAAAAAUGGGAUAUAAUUUAGACUUGCUUUUAAGGAAAAAUAUCUAAGUAAAUUUAGAGUUAGCAUCCACAAAACUCACAUAAUAGCGAUAACCAUUAAUGGAGGGUGUGAAUGCUGGACCCCAUAGAUAAGAAUAUAUCAAAUGUAAUGGCUCAUGAUAAACCACCUCAAAAUGAGAGAAUGGUAACUUUUUGUUUUUCCCUAAUUGACAAGCAGAACAAAAUGAUAAAUCUUCAUUCAUUAGAACAGGGAUUUUACAAGAGGAUAGAACCAUUUUGACACUUGGAGCAGCGGGUUGACCGAGGUUCAUAUUCCAGAGGUCUAUAAUUUGAUUGACUCUAACAUUAGACUUUACUGGACUUGAAAUACCGGACUCGAACUAGCACCUAUUGACUGUAAAGAAAAGGCAGUAGGACAACUCGACUGACUUUGAAUAGAAGAACUUACGGACGACAAUUGAGAUGAUGCAAAAGAUGUAAGUAUUAUGCCCUAGGUCCAAU